RNAcentral lists this ribosomal RNA (1372 nucleotides) under uncultured bacterium. Its description in RNAcentral is "bacterial SSU rRNA". It matches the Rfam family "Bacterial small subunit ribosomal RNA", at positions 28 to 1381 of the family's 1533-position model. The record is from RNAcentral.
GAUGGACGCUGGCGGCGUGCCUAAUACAUGCAAGUCGAGCGAACGGACGAGAAGCUUGCUUCUCUGAUGUUAGCGGCGGACGGGUGAGUAACACGUGGAUAACCUACCUAUAAGACUGGGAUAACUUCGGGAAACCGGAGCUAAUACCGGAUAAUAUUUUGAACCGCAUGGUUCAAAAGUGAAAGACGGUCUUGCUGUCACUUAUAGAUGGAUCCGCGCUGCAUUAGCUAGUUGGUAAGGUAACGGCUUACCAAGGCAACGAUGCAUAGCCGACCUGAGAGGGUGAUCGGCCACACUGGAACUGAGACACGGUCCAGACUCCUACGGGAGGCAGCAGUAGGGAAUCUUCCGCAAUGGGCGAAAGCCUGACGGAGCAACGCCGCGUGAGUGAUGAAGGUCUUCGGAUCGUAAAACUCUGUUAUUAGGGAAGAACAUAUGUGUAAGUAACUGUGCACAUCUUGACGGUACCUAAUCAGAAAGCCACGGCUAACUACGUGCCAGCAGCCGCGGUAAUACGUAGGUGGCAAGCGUUAUCCGGAAUUAUUGGGCCGUAAGGCGCGCGUAGGCGGUUUUUUAGUCUGAUGUGAAAGCCCACGGCUCAACCGUGGAGGGUCAUUGGAAACUGGAAAACUUGAGUGCAGAAGAGGAAAGUGGAAUUCCAUGUGUAGCGGUGAAAUGCGCAGAGAUAUGGAGGAACACCAGUGGCGAAGGCGACUUUCUGGUCUGUAACUGACGCUGAUGUGCGAAAGCGUGGGGAUCAAACAGGAUUAGAUACCCUGGUAGUCCACGCCGUAAACGAUGAGUGCUAAGUGUUAGGGGGUUUCCGCCCCUUAGUGCUGCAGCUAACGCAUUAAGCACUCCGCCUGGGGAGUACGACCGCAAGGUUGAAACUCAAAGGAAUUGACGGGGACCCGCACAAGCGGUGGAGCAUGUGGUUUAAUUCGAAGCAACGCGAAGAACCUUACCAAAUCUUGACAUCCUUUGACAACUCUAGAGAUAGAGCCUUCCCCUUCGGGGGACAAAGUGACAGGUGGUGCAUGGUUGUCGUCAGCUCGUGUCGUGAGAUGUUGGGUUAAGUCCCGCAACGAGCGCAACCCUUAAGCUUAGUUGCCAUCAUUAAGUUGGGCACUCUAAGUUGACUGCCGGUGACAAACCGGAGGAAGGUGGGGAUGACGUCAAAUCAUCAUGCCCCUUAUGAUUUGGGCUACACACGUGCUACAAUGGACAAUACAAAGGGCAGCGAAACCGCGAGGUCAAGCAAAUCCCAUAAAGUUGUUCUCAGUUCGGAUUGUAGUCUGCAACUCGACUACAUGAAGCUGGAAUCGCUAGUAAUCGUAGAUCAGCAUGCUACGGUGAAUACGUUCCCGGGUCU